GUGGCUCAGUGGUUUAGCGCUACCUUCAGCCCAGGGUGUGAUCCUGGAGACCCAGGAUCGAUUCCCACAUCGGGCUCCCUGCAUGGCGCCUGCUUCUCCCUCUGCCUGUGUCUCUGCCUCUCUCUCUCUUUCUCUCUCAUGAAUAAGUAAAAUCUUAAAAAAAAAAAAAAAAAAGAAAAAAGUAAAUAUCCUUAGAUUCAGUAAUUCCAGUCCUUGAUAUUUACAGCCAGCUACAGGAGACAGACAGAUCUACAUAGUAGCAUAUGUAAAGAGUCACUGCCACACUGUAACACAUAAUGUCACCUAAAAUAAGUAAAAGACUACUUACAUAAAUUAUAAUACACCUACACGAAGGAAUUACCUUUCAAAAGAAUAAGAGAAUUGUUCAUACCAAUAGGAAAAGAUUUCCAAGAAAAAUUCAGUGAAAAAAGUCAGGUAAAGAACCCAAAUUGUACGAUAUACUAUAUUUAUAAGAAAAACACAUUAGUAUGUGUUUGUAAAUAUAAAAAUGAUCCCUGGAAGGAUACACAAUCAGUUUUAAUGAUGGUUUUUCUCUAGGAAGGUAAAGAAAAAGCUGGAAGACAAAAGUUACCUUCCCUAUACACCCUUCCUAUACUUCAAAUCUUCUACUGAGCACAUGUAACACCACAUAUUGUCUUUAAAACAUAAACUAUCGUAAAAAAUAAAAAUAUCUGGUUAUUAAGAAAAAAAGAAAAAAAUUAUGGGAAUCCACAUCAAUGUACUCACGUAAUGAAAUAAAGCUAUGAAUUAGAAAUAAAAACACCAAUUUGGGUUUGUUUUUGUUUAAGUCAUGUGGCCCAAAAAGGAGACUGUAAUGUCUGAGACAAAAGCAUGAAAACGAUAGAACACUGUAAGUUAACUAUACUGGAAUUAAAAUCAAAAACUUAAUUUAUAAAAAAAAAAAAGUAUGAGAACAAAAGAAAUUCCCUCCUGGAAGAUUUUCAUGCUCAAAGGCCACAUCUGGGAAAGAUUCACUCCACCUGUGCCUAGAAUGUCCUAAAACAAUAAGACCUUCAGGGAUCACAAGGGGAACCAAGUGGGAGAAGGAGAACAGCUAGCUGAUUAAGUAACAAUGUGUUGGAGGGAAUCCUAAACAAACAAGCCAAGAUAAGACGAAGAAAAAAAAACUCAUCUGUAAUUUAAAAAGGACAUUCCAUUCUAAACUGGCUAAAAGAAUAAAUCUCAAAACAAAUCAUUCGCUCCUGGCACUGUUUUCCCCAUCUCACAGGGCUAGAGUAACCACUUUUUCUGUCACCUGUGAUGAAAGAAGAAAGAAAAAAAAGGGAAAAAAAAAGAAAAGAAAAGAAAAGAAAAGAAAAGAAAAGAAAAGAAAAGAAAAGAAAAGAAAAGAAAAGAGAGAAAGAGAGAGAAAGAGAGAGAAAAGAAAGAAAAAGAAAGGAAAGAAAGGAAAGAAAGGAAAGAAAGGAAGAAAGAGAAAGAAAGAAAGAAAGAAAGAAAGAAAGAAAGAAAGAAAGAAAGAAAGAAAGAAAGAAAGAAAGAAAGAGAAAUCGUUAGGGUUCCUUUCACUUAAUUUAGGCUCAGUGCAAUAGGGCAUAAACCUAAAUUGCAGGUGUCAGCCAUCAAACAGUAUAUGUGCCUUUGAUUCUAUGAGCAGAUGUUUAUCAGGCCCCAUGGUCAAAAGUUGAAGACUGUAACGGUAUUCCUUUAUUAGGAUAAACAUUUGAUUUAUUUGCAAGAUAAGGUGCUUGACCCAAAAAAGUCAAUAAGAGACUUUGAGCUGUUUGUGUAGCUGGUUCAUUUUAUCAUUCAGACCUCAGCCCAUUUCUUCCUAGUUCCAAAAGGGACCUUUCUCCCCCAGAUCCAAGUGCCCUCAGAUGGCAUUCUGUGACACAGAUCGAAUCCCCAGAGCUCCAAACCCUUAUCUGCUGGGUCUAGGGCCGUGUUUCCAACUCCUCACAAGCCUCCAGGAAGCCCUCUUCUCUAUGCUAACUCCAGAAGCGGAAACCCAAUACCAUGCCCUGCUCCAGACCAGCUCUUAACCUUUCGUUUUAAGAUCAACACCAUGCUCUGGGCCAUCCAAGUUCCCCAGGUCAGAUGCUUCUGCCUCUCACUUGCUCCUUCCCUUCUUCACAAAAAUGAUUUGUGCACCUUACAGCUUCUCCGGCAAGAGGCCCAAACCCGGAUUCCAUCCGCUCGUUUCCCUCAGCUCCUGGGCACCCACCCUCACCCCUCAGGGCGGCGACAGAGAAGCCUACCCACCAGGGGACCCACCCAGAGGCCCACAGGGACAGCGCGAUGCCGGCCUCGGGCCUGGGAGGUCAGGUCCCCGCAGAGGCCUGGGCCCCGAGCUGCCAGGCCUGCAGGUUCGCAGAAGAACGUGCAGAGUUGAACAUUUUACGGGAAAUACCCCCAAGUUUAAACGACAGCAACUACUUCAACAAUGAGAAGGAAAAACUGUCUUACGUUCGGGAUCACACGGGACAGAACUCUGAGGGGUGCUGGGCCUGGGGCCACCGGUUUUCAAAGUCUGCGUUCGAGCAAGUGCCUUUGGGGUGGACAGCGUGGGUGCAAGUUCAGGCAAGUUUUGGAACAAUAACUGUGUCGGGUCACCUCCGACAUCUUCCAUCACCCCUCUGAAGCCUCGGUUUCUCCUGCUGUAAAAUGGGGGUAGGAGAGUAGGUCGGUCAGCAGGGGUGAGCCUCAGGGGAGAGCACACAGGGAGGGCGCCUGAGCAGGCCUCCCCACGGCCACGGGCUCACGGACGCUCUUUUAGAACCAAGUCUAAAAUUUUGAGCCCGGCACUCAAAGUAAACCAAAAUUUGGCUCUCAGCCUCCGUUUCCACGUUCUUCCACGGCGCAAACCCCACCGUACUCUACACGGUCACACCAUGUCACCCGGCUGGUCGCUCCAGGCGCUGCCACAUAGCCCAGCAAAACGUGACAGGACGGGCCAGCGUGUGCAACAGAAGGCGGCGCCGCACCGACCGUCCUACCCAGCUCCGCUCCAGAGCCCGAGUCAGCUCUGCCUUCCAGCCAGCCCAGGUCCCGCUGCCUCCCCGAGGAGCUGCACCUCAAGGCACGCAGCCCAAUUCCAGGGGCAACAAAUACGUGCAAAUGCGUUUAUACAACUUGGCCCUUAAACGAAAGCCAGCCACCUCAUAGGCACUCGCCCGUUCCCUGCUUGGGCAGGGUGCCUAGUCCACAUCUGUACGAUGCUCAAAACGGUACCAUCAAAGUGGUACCUUCUUCCAAGGCCAGCCUGUCACUUCCACAAGUGUUAUUUGCUCCUUAUCCCUCUGUGUCUCCCGACCAAGAUACUUGGCCUCCUGCCAUUUAUAGUUAGAUGUCCGAUUCUUCAGUCUUCCUCUUAGUGGCCUCUUACUCCAGUGCAGCCUAAGAUCAACUUAAUUUUACUGUCCUUUCCAUGCCCAGCCCCAAGUCCGGGAGGCCUUGAUAAAUGCUCAACAAAUGAAGGAAGAAGAAAAGGGGAAACGAUGGAGGAGCAGCAGCAAGGCAGGAAGGGAUUUUAAUGAUAAGGACAAUGACAGCUACGAGGACUGCAGUCACCAAUUCAGCUCUUACAUCUUUCGAUGCAAAGAGCUGGCCCCUACUAGCCUUGUUUUGUGUUUUGGAACAAUAACUGUAUCGGGUCACCUCGCCUACUUCUUGCCCAUUCUCCUUUCGGUGCAGGUGACCUAAAAAGGGACUCCUGCUAUCCCCUCAUUACUGACGGCCACCAUCCCAUUUCAAGUAUAAUCUAAAUAAACAGGGAUCUAAGUGGCUCCUGCCCCCAGUUUAAAUUAAUUAGGCCCACCUUCGAUGCCGAUUAGGAUCAAGACGAGCAUGUACUUUUGGAGCUGAUCCAAAGCACAUAUUAGUCACUUUAAUCUGAUAUACAGAAACAAGCAAAGACCCCCUACACAGAGAAGAAAAAACAAUGGGUGGGGGAAUGGUGGGAGAGCAGAAGGGCACGGACCAUCUGUAGAAUAAUUGAGACUCAACAAAAAGAAAAACAAAAUUCUCAUCCAGAUUAGCAAAUGUCCAAUAAACAAAUUAAGGCUGAUUUCCACAAUAUCUCGAAUAGUUGUGGGUUUUUUUUUUUUCCAAACUGCUAGUUAGAACCUAUUAGCAAGUUGUGAAAUCAAUUUAGUAAACAGAAACCAGAAUUAAAAAAAAAAAAAAGACUAGAAAUUAGGAAGCAUUGCUAUAUUGUGUUGUAAAAAUUGUAAUUCAGCUUUAUUUUCAAUAUGCAUGUGUGUAUGUGUGUGUACUCAGUCAUGAUGUAAAAUGUAUUGCUGCGAGUAAAAAAUGUUUUUAAAACACUGAAAUAGAACAUUUAUGUUUAUAUAAUCUCCAGGGACUGAGAUUUUCCAUUUUUUACUAGGGCCACACUCAUAAAGUAAGAGAAUAUUUGUUCUUGCCACCUGUUGUGCACAACAGUUCAGUUCCUCAAGUUCAAAAACAUCUAAAAAAAAUAUAUCACUUGGCACACUUGUCCCUUACCAUUUUCCUUAUUCUCAAAAGGAAGAUAAAGGUUACUCCAGAUAACCACCUACACUUUUCCCUCCUACUGGUUGUCCUAUGUAUAUAUUUCUAUCUUGUGUUAAGUCCCUGACAUCAAGUUACGAGUCCAAAAGCUUCAGCUUCCUUAGUGGUACUCACUUAUAAGUGAGUAUUAAAGUAUAACUUAUAAGUAUUAACCUAUAACUUAAGGAGAGUGAUCCAUCAGGCACAUUAUGUUUUCACGAAGAGUACCCCACCACUCACCAGUAGCUACAAUAGAGGAAGUUUGGCUUAAAAUAUCUCAACUCAUCCCCUCUACACCAGAAUGCCUUUUCUCAAGUUCUUUUUAUUGCACAUCUUUCUCAGUAUCCAGUCUCUUCAAAUUCCAAGUACCAUCCCACACAUCUAAUAUCCAGCUUUGUCUCAGACCACUCCUAUGUUCCUUUAUCUCCUCUGUACAUUUCCCAUCAAACUCAAGGUUAUUUUUAGAAGUUCAAUCAAUAAUUCUUCCAUGAUUGCUUUAAAAAGAAAAAAGAAAAACUGGAGCAAUCUUGUUUUCUCUGUGUUACAAUUUUUUUUAAGUAAGCUCUACAUCCAAUGUGGGACUUGAACUCAUGACCCCAAGGAUCAAGAGCAGCAUGCUCUACCAAUUCAGCUAGCCAGGCACCCCAGAGCGAUCUUAUUUUCAAUGUCAUCC
RNAcentral lists this long non-coding RNA (5182 nucleotides) under Canis lupus familiaris (dog). RNAcentral's name for it is "lncRNA (ENSCAFG00845026456.1)". The record is from RNAcentral. Lineage: Eukaryota; Metazoa; Chordata; Mammalia; Carnivora; Canidae.